RNAcentral lists this ribosomal RNA (440 nucleotides) under uncultured bacterium. RNAcentral's name for it is "partial 16S ribosomal RNA". It matches the Rfam family "Bacterial small subunit ribosomal RNA", at positions 338 to 795 of the family's 1533-position model. The record is from RNAcentral.
CCUACGGGAGGCAGCAGUAGGGAAUAUUGCUCAAUGGGGGAAACCCUGAAGCAGCAACGCCGCGUGGAGGAUGAAGGUUUUCGGAUUGUAAACUCCUUUUGUUAGAGAAGAUAAUGACGGUAUCUAACGAAUAAGCACCGGCUAACUCCGUGCCAGCAGCCGCGGUAAUACGGAGGGUGCAAGCGUUACUCGGAUUCACUGGGCGUAAAGGGCGCGUAGGCGGGAUAGCAAGUCAGAUGUGAAAUCGUAUGGCUUAACCAUGGAACUGCAUUUGAAACUGUUAUUCUAGAGUAUGGGAGGGGUAGGCGGAAUUCUUGGUGUAGGGGUAAAAUCCGUAGAGAUCAAGAGGAAUACUGAUUGCGAAGGCGACCUGCUAGAACAUAACUGACGUUGAGGCGCGAAAGCGUGGGGAGCAAACAGGAUUAGAUACCCUAGUAGUC